Molecule: transfer RNA, 73 nt
Organism: Dictyostelium discoideum AX4
Lineage: Eukaryota; Evosea; Eumycetozoa; Dictyosteliales; Dictyosteliaceae
Rfam family: tRNA
About the family: Transfer RNA (tRNA) molecules are approximately 80 nucleotides in length. Their secondary structure includes four short double-helical elements and three loops (D, anti-codon, and T loops). Further hydrogen bonds mediate the characteristic L-shaped molecular structure. tRNAs have two regions of fundamental functional importance: the anti-codon, which is responsible for specific mRNA codon recognition, and the 3' end, to which the tRNAs corresponding amino acid is attached (by aminoacyl-tRNA synthetases). tRNAs cope with the degeneracy of the genetic code in two manners: having more than one tRNA (with a specific anti-codon) for a particular amino acid; and 'wobble' base-pairing, i.e. permitting non-standard base-pairing at the 3rd anti-codon position.
Source: Rfam
GCCCGGCUAGCUCAGUCGGUAGAGCGCCAGACUCUUAAUCUGGUGGUCGGGGGUUCGAGCCCCCCGUUGGGCG